AUCCAGCUGACGAGUCCCAAAUAGGACUAAACGCGCGUCCUGGAC
This 45-nucleotide non-coding RNA is filed under the name Schistosoma mansoni. The record is from RNAcentral. Lineage: Eukaryota; Metazoa; Platyhelminthes; Trematoda; Strigeidida; Schistosomatidae.